GACGAACGCUGGCGGCGUGCUUAACACAUGCGAGUCGAACGGAAAGGCCCUGCUUGCAGGGUACUCGAGUGGCGAACGGGUGAGUAACACGUGGGUGAUCUGCCCUGCACUUCGGGAUAAGCCUGGGAAACUGGGUCUAAUACCGGAUAGGGGCCAUUUUUAGUGUGAUGGUUGGAAAGUUUUUUCGGUGUAGGAUGAGCUCGCGGCCUAUCAGCUUGUUGGUGGGGUAAUGGCCUACCAAGGCGGCGACGGGUAGCCGGCCUGAGAGGGUGGACGGCCACAUUGGGACUGAGAUACGGCCCAGACUCCUACGGGAGGCAGCAGUGGGGAAUAUUGCACAAUGGGCGCAAGCCUGAUGCAGCGACGCCGCGUGGGGGAUGACGGCCUUCGGGUUGUAAACUCCUUUCGCUAGGGACGAAGCUUUUUGUGACGGUACCUAGAUAAGAAGCACCGGCUAACUACGUG
Molecule: ribosomal RNA, 465 nt
Filed under: uncultured bacterium
Lineage: Bacteria
Description: partial 16S ribosomal RNA
Rfam family: Bacterial small subunit ribosomal RNA
Source: RNAcentral